Molecule: ribosomal RNA, 776 nt
Filed under: uncultured bacterium
Lineage: Bacteria
Description: bacterial SSU rRNA
Rfam family: Bacterial small subunit ribosomal RNA
Source: RNAcentral
AGAGUUUGAUCCUGGCUCAGGACGAACGCUGGCGGCGUGCUUAACACAUGCAAGUCACGGGGGCCCGCAAGGGCAACCGGCGAACGGGUGCGUAACACGUGAGCAACCUGCCUAGAUGUGGGGGAUAGCCGGCCCAACGGCCGGGUAAUACCGCAUACGUUCUUCGGGGGGAGUCCCCUGGAGAGCAAACCUCCGGGGCAUUUAGAGGGGCUCGCGGCCUAUCAGCUAGUUGGCGGGGUAAUGGCCCACCAAGGCUUCGACGGGUAGCUGGUCUGAGAGGAUGGCCAGCCACAUUGGGACUGAGAGACGGCCCAGACUCCUACGGGAGGCAGCAGUGGGGAAUCUUGCGCAAUGGCCGAAAGGCUGACGCAGCGACGCCGCGUGUGGGAGGACGCCCUUCGGGGUGUAAACCACUGUUGCCCGGGACGAACACCCGCUUUCGAGCGGGCUGACGGUACCGGGUGAGGAAGCACCGGCUAACUCCGUGCCAGCAGCCGCGGUAAUACGGAGGGUGCGAGCGUUGUCCGGAAUCACUGGGCGUAAAGGGCGCGUAGGUGGCCCAGGAAGUCGGCGGUGAAAGCCCGGCGCUCAACGCCGGGUCGGCCGUCGAUACUCUUGGGCUCGAGCUCACUAGAGGCAGAUGGAAUUCCGGGUGUAGCGGUGGAAUGCGUAGAGAUCCGGAAGAACACCGGUGGCGAAGGCGGUCUGCUGGGGUGAUGCUGACACUGAUGCGCGACAGCGUGGGGAGCAAACAGGAUUAGAUACCCUGGUAGUCC